UACGUAGGUGGCGAGCGUUGUCCGGAAUUACUGGGUGUAAAGGGAGCGCAGGCGGGGAAGCAAGUCAGCUGUGAAAUCUAUGGGCUUAACCCAUAACGUGCAGUUGAAACUGUUUUUCUUGAGUGGAGUAGAGGUAGGCGGAAUUCCGAGUGUAGCGGUGAAAUGCGUAGAGAUUCGGAGGAACACCAGUGGCGAAGGCGGCCUACUGGGCUCUAACUGACGCUGAGGCUCGAAAGUGUGGGGAGCAAACAGGAUUAGAUACCCUGGUAGU
RNAcentral lists this ribosomal RNA (271 nucleotides) under uncultured prokaryote. Its description in RNAcentral is "partial 16S ribosomal RNA". It matches the Rfam family "Bacterial small subunit ribosomal RNA", at positions 524 to 794 of the family's 1533-position model. The record is from RNAcentral.